RNAcentral lists this ribosomal RNA (253 nucleotides) under uncultured prokaryote. RNAcentral describes it as "partial 16S ribosomal RNA". It matches the Rfam family "Bacterial small subunit ribosomal RNA", at positions 524 to 776 of the family's 1533-position model. The record is from RNAcentral.
UACGUAGGGUGCGAGCGUUAAUCGGAAUUACUGGGCGUAAAGCGUGCGCAGGCGGCGCGUUAAGACAGGUGUGAAAGCCCCGAGCUUAACUUGGGAAUUGCGCUUGUGACUGGCGUGCUGGAGUGUGGCAGAGGGAGGUGGAAUUCCACGUGUAGCAGUGAAAUGCGUAGAGAUCGGGAGGAAGGCCGGUGGCGAAGGCGGCGCUCUGGAACGUUUCUGACGCUGAGGCUCGAAAGCGUGGGGAGCAAACAGG